AAUAUGAAUACUGUUCGGAAAAUGGGGAAACCCACAACCAUUGACUAACCUAUAUAACAGCUGGCUGGUAUAUAGAAGUUGACCAGUGAAAAGAAAAAGAGAGAGAAGAUGGCAAGGAACAAGGACAUCACAUUUGAUGAUGCUAUGAGAGUUGUGGAUGAGCUUGCAAGAGAAAUAAAACAUCAUAGACAUGGCCUGAACAGAGUCCAGGUAACUCAAGGCUGGCUCCCUUGGUCAGUACACAGCCAUUCCGGGCAACUUCGAUGUGGACCUAGUGGUCUACUCAGAGAGUGUGGAUCCAGACACUGUCCUGAGUGAAGGAUAUCGUACGCCUCUACACAAACUGCGAAGCUUUUUGGGAGGUCUACGGAGUGUCAAGCUUCAAACACCACUAAAAAUGUCUGUGUCACUGAAAUACAAGACAUAAUGACCAGCAAGAUCGAGAGCUAUCGAUAGACGUUGACGUCUUGGUCAGCCCUAAAUGGGAGAAUCCAGCAGAUCUCUAUGACUACCUGAGGAAAGCCAAACAAGACGGAGCAAAACCUGCCCAACUAUUCCGGUUCUCAGUGAAUGCUUCAAAAUGGCAGGUUGCAUUUAUUGAAAAGCAGGAUGAUAAAGCUAAAGAACUUAUUCGCCGUGCUAAGGCGUGGAGGAACAAAGAAUGGCCUGAGGGGAAGCUAUGUACUGGAAGGCCAAAGAGUUAUCUCAUCUCAAUUCUGGUGCUUAUAGAGCUUAUAUGAGCUGGCAUUGAAACAGCACUAUGGUGGAACUAUUGAGCAACGGUAGGGGAACUCCCUUGUGUACAAAUCAGUAUAGCUUCCCGUUUCUACAGAACAACAACCACUUUGAAGCAGAUAGUGAAAUCUCACCUAACAGCUGAUAUCUAUUGGGUUGACUACUACAAACCAGGGGACUACAUAGACUUGUUUCCAGCCAGGCUCCCCCGAAUCGUUGACCCUGCCAACCCGGCCAACAACCUCCACAACACAGGGAUAAUCGGAGGCAGCACCUACACUUCACAUUCAUACUAUAUACGAGCAGGGAGACGGCAAUUGGACGCAGCUGGUUGGGAAAAUUGAGUCAAUCGAUUUGACCAAAACAAUUGAACAGAUACAGGCCUAAAAUACGCUUGCUUUUUUAAAUCACCAUGCACAGACUUAGUGAUAACAAAGCACCUUUUUGUAUUGUGUAUGUACGGUAUAUGUUGACAUUAGCCGUACAGUCAGUUAGUGC
Molecule: long non-coding RNA, 1233 nt
Organism: Halichondria panicea
Lineage: Eukaryota; Metazoa; Porifera; Demospongiae; Suberitida; Halichondriidae
Exons: 6
Source: RefSeq, a predicted model, not a curated record